This is a long non-coding RNA of Lytechinus variegatus (green sea urchin), 172 nucleotides long. RefSeq lists it as uncharacterized. The transcript has 4 exons. The record is from RefSeq and is a predicted model, not a curated record. NCBI's taxonomy places the organism in Eukaryota, Metazoa, Echinodermata, Echinoidea, Temnopleuroida, Toxopneustidae.
UAUUUGGUACUAAAGCAUAUGACAAAAUUUAUGACUGCUACCCAUCAUAACUUUUGUCAUAUCUUUUGCUUGUACAAAAGGAUUAUGCGCAUUUAAAGCCGCAUAUUUUUGGUGCGCGCUAAAGAGAAGAGACAAAAUUUAUGACAAUUUUUGUGACAAAAGUUAUGACAUU